CUAAAGUUUAUAAGUUUGGUAAGUUUUAAAUUUGUUGUCCAUUGCAGACACUCCUUGGCAUACGUUAGUCGGCUCUUGGACAAAUAUAGUUGAUCAGGCUAUAUUCUUCCCAGUUCCGAUUACAUGUCCCAAGGCAUACCUGCACUGCACAACUUAUUUAUAAUACUUCUAUAUUGUUUUAAUUAUGAUACUGACCAUGUUAUUAAUAUGAAAUGAAUGCAUGCCUACUUUACAAAAACUAAAUAAAUUUAAUUUUAAAAGUAUGACUCUUACUCAGAGUGUUUUUGCCCAGUUGUGUUUAUAGUUGUAUACCAAAAAUGGUUUUGAUAUACUUAAUUCACUAUAAACAAUGCUCUGAUACCAAUCUGUCACACCCCCAAACCAGAACGGCGGAAACGUUCGGGGGCGGAGGACGUCAUGUCAAAUAUCAUAACAAUUGAAUAGUAAAGAAAGUACACACCACCAUAAUAUAAAUAUAUUUGAAAAGUUUACAUGAUUGUAUAUGUUACAUGUUUGCAAAAGAAAUCAAAUACAAUAUGGUGAUCCAAAAUAUGUUACUAACGCCAACGCGUUAGUCUUCAAAAGUAGUUGCUACCUGGUCUAGCAGUUUCCUGAGAAUACAAGUUAUUUCAAAGAAAAAGUGUCAACAUUUAAGUUGGUGAGUUCAUAAGUGGUGUUUUGAGAAAAUGUAUGCCAUUCGAAAGUGCGUGUAUGUUUUCCAGAAAAUACCUUAUUUUCUAUUUGAUGUAUGAAAUAGUUUGAAAGAUUGUUGUAUGUACUAUAUGUAUUUGAACCAGGAAAAUCCCUUAUUUUCCUAAAAGUGAAAUGCAGUCUCAAAUGACCAAGACUGUAAGCUAUAAGAAACUAUGACAUGCUCAAAAGAAUGAUGUUGUAAAUCGUUAUUGUACAAAAUGAAUGUAUUUGAACCAGGAAAAUCCCUUAUUUUCCUAAAAGUGAAGUGCAGUCUUAUUGUUAAGUAAAACUAGUUGUGGAAGUGUUUUAACCUGAGUUUUGAUCAUGCCGAUAAUACCCUAGAAUAUAGUUAUUACCCCUCGAGCAUGAUUGAGUUAUGUAUUACUACGUGCAUGAGUCAUUGUUUUCGCGUGUUGUGAGUUCCUCAUAACCAUACUAGACGCAGUACCUAAUGUUGAAAUUUGUCACCCCAAUGACGGACUAUAGCUAACAGUCAGGGUGCAGAGUUGUCAGCCCCGUAUAGAUCUAUACACACUUGUCACGCUCUCCCUCCAGGAGACUCUGGUUAUAGGUGAGGACUUUCGUUUGGUACAAACAAAGCCAUAUGCCAUCACAUGAUUGCUAACAACAAGUUCACGAGUAAUAUGAUGAAAAUCGUUCGUAUGAAAUGAUUUCGUUUUCUACCGUGUUACAAAAACGUGAUGAUGAGUUGAGUUUUCUUGUAAAAGCAUCAUGUUAUAGUUGAAAUGGUUACUCUUGAUAUGAUGUAGUAUGCAAACGUAUAAAUAAAACCUAUUUCUAUUUAUAAAACAUAUUGUAUCCCAAGAGGGUAAAGUUGUGUUGUGAGGUGUUUUGCAUGAUAAUAACUUCAUAAGAUAGUUUAAAACAACAGUAUGAAAAGUAUAUAAAAAGAUCGAUGUUUCACACGAUUUUAGUUGUGUGUUUACUUGUAUUCCCCCCCUUAAAAGUGUUUCAAAAGCAUUUAAAAAGCAUUUAAAGUGUGGUUGUAGGGGUAUGAACUCACUUGAUUGAAGUGGUUGAUUUGAAGUAGUCGAGAGGAGAAUCGAGCAGAACUUCGACAGGAAGAGUUGAAAACGCGGGAAAAUAUCGGGAUUCUCGGGAAUCUCGGGAAUCUCGAGAACACAAAACCUUCCUUCGGGACUUGAAGGUGAAAACCGGGGCUUUGGGAGGGUCUCGGGGGCUUAAACGCAGAGUUUCGGCGCGAGAAAGAAAGGAACUGAACAAUGGAACUCGGAGCCCUUGAAAUCUACUUAUAGGGGCAUUUUUGGGGUGUGCCACGUCGUGGCAAGUGAUGGCCACGUCGUGGGGAGUCAAACCUAUCCUCUUCCAUUGAUUGGACGCCCUCAGUCACUUGCCGGGUCGCGGCAAGCUUGUGCCACGUCGUGGGGCCUGACAGCCUCAGAUUUUGGACCCCGAACUUGUAAAAUCCAUAACUUUCGCAUACGAGCUCCGUUUUCGACGUUCUUUAUAUGCACGCGUAGCUAAAAAUAUGAUCUACAACUCUCGUUUAGACUUCAUCGGCAAAUUUUGAAUUUAUUUUUAAUUAUUUAUUUUUAACGGGCCGGAACACGAAAAGUCCGUUAAAAUUCCAUAACUUCUUCAUCCGAUGUCCGUUUUCGUCAGACUUUUCGCCGUUGCGCUACUAAUGUUGAGACCUUCGAUUCUCAUUUAGGUUGUUUUGGUCAAAAGUAUCUCGAGCUCUAUUUCGAGUUUUUAGCUGUCUACUGCUAUACCCGAACCUUGGAAAAAUCAUAACUUCCUCAUACGAAGUCAGAUUUGGACGUUCUUUUUAUGUACGCUCACGGUUUGAUGUUAUCUAUAACUUUUAUUUAGAUACUUAAGGCUAAAAACUAUUGUAUUGAAACUUCGCGUUUUUCGUUUAAUCGGUGUUGCCGGUUUUGUCGGGAAUUUUAGAAUGGUUAUAACUUCCUCGUUAUAACUCGGAUUUUUGUGUUCUUUAUAUGUAUGAAAACCUUGUUACGAUAUUUACCACUUAGUAUACUCAAUUACGGUUUUAUAAAAGUUUAAAUUUUGACCUGAAUUUUGCUGUUGUUACAUUAUCCCCCCGUUAGAGAGAAUUUCGUCCCGAAAUUCGCAUUUUGACUGGGACUCCAAUUCUUGCGGGCAGGCGAGAGUGCUUCUGGUCGAUUUGUUCCUCUUGUUCCUUUAUGAAUCUAGAUCCUAAUGUGCGUGUUUCAGCGGACCUUCAUUACUCCGCCUAUCACUUCGACCGAUCGGGAUCGUGUGGUUUUGGGUUUAUUUACUUAUGUUCUUCUAAAUGCUAGCACAUUCACUCGAUGCAUUAGGGCAGCUACGUUUUAAAGUUCAUGGUUGAAUUUACUCCUAGUUUCUGAGCUUGGAUUUGAAUGUUCUGUUGGGGGAUACUACAGGAAGGUUGUAAAGAUAUAGUACUCCUCACAUGAGUACCUCGAGGUUUUUAAACUAGAAACCAAUUAGGGUUAGUGUCGGGUUUGUCGUGAUAAAUCGAUCGAGUUUCGUUAGUCGAUGGUUAAAGUGAAAGGGUCUACUGGUAUGGGUAGGGCCACACCAAUCCACGUCGAAUGCCGACGUCGGUACUUCUCAUUGUAAGACGUUCGUUAGUGGGAUAGUGCAUUCUACGUAUGUGUUCUCAGUGCUUUUUAGUCUAUCUCUAUUAUUACUACUAUGAAAGUUUUGAUUAAUGAUUGGGGUGUUUAUUCGAGUAGAUUUUUAAACUUGCGACUCACGGAACUCUUCUGCGUUCCUACUAUCAAAAUGGAAUGUAUGCAAAUAAGUUAUCAAGGAGAAAUGUACCCAGAAUAACCGUGGGGUCUGCAAUAGCCUCCUCUUGGCCCAUUGCGAAUACUCGGCCUCCUCCACUAGCAUUCUUGUUGUUUGCCUUCGGGCAGUUCCGUCGGAAGUGUCCCGUUGCUCCGCACUCAUAACAAGUACGGUCUACUCCCACAUUUGCAGCUGGAGCGGUUGGUUGGGCUAUUUCCCCGCAGUAGCGGACGGUGUGUCCCUUACUAUUGCACCUAAUGCAAUGCAUUUCACGACAGGGUCCGUGAUGAUGAAAGUUGCAUCGGUUGCACUUAGGCUGGUUGCCGUUGUACGACCUUGUGGGUGUAGGGGUGGUAGGGAUAGUAACAGAAUGAGCUGUCACUAACUGUUGCCUCUUGGGGUUCUCUUGCAUGGUUUCCCCCUUCCUCUUAUCCCAGGGUUUCCUUCGGUCCUCUAUAUCCUUCGGUGGCUCCGAGACAGCGGUAAUAGUACCCUGUUUAACACCGUGAUCAAUCAAUCGUUGAGCCAAGCGCUUCGCGCUGUCAAACGUGAUUGGGUUAGAGGCCAGGACAUGCCCUUGGAUCUGGGGUGAUAAUCCCCAAAUGUACCUCUCCACCUUCUUCGAUUCCGGGUUUACCAUACUUGGGCACAAGGCUGACAAAUCACUGAACCUAGCCGUGUAAGUGAUUACGUCCGAUCCGGUCAUCCUUAGGUUCCAUAGCUCAUGCUCUAAUUUUUGGAUUUCGCCCCUCGGGCAGUAUUCUUCCAGCAUCAAGAUUUUGAGAUCUUCCCAGCUCAUGGCAUUAGCAACUGGGAGAGAUAGGGCAUCCACAUGUCCCUUCCACCAGGUGAGGGCUCGAUCAGAGAAAGUGCAAGCGGCGAACUUGACUUUGCUGGUCUCUGGGCAUGCACAUAUCUCGAAGACCGUUUCGGUCUUCUCGAACCAUUGCAUAAGUGCAAUGACUCCUCCUACCCCGUUGAAAGUUUUUGGCUUUGCAUUCGAAAAUUCCUUGUAUGUGCAUUCUCUGAUAUAACCAUGGCCAGUGCCAUGAUUUAAGUGGUUGGUACUGCUUCCAGUUCCACCAGCUCCGUUAGUGUUUAUCUGCGUAAGAGCAGCUGCUACUGCUGCAGUGAUAGCAGCCUGAACCAUGACAGGAUCAUAUUGUGGGGGUGGUGGCGGCGGCGUAGGUGUUGCGUUGUUGAUGCGACGCACAGAUCUACGAGGCGGCAUCGCUGCCAAAGAAAUAACAAUGAAGACAAUAAGUCUUUUAAUGAUUGUAUGGUUUGGGUAGUAGGGGUCUCCUGCUAGGUGGAAAUCCAGCCAUUGUGUUUGUACGAGAAUAGGGAGAUAAGGAUUGUCUAGAACUAAGGCACAUAAGGUUGACAUCAAAGUUAAACUAUCGUAUGCAUAAAAUACUCCUAUAGUAUUCUAAAUGUUAUGUUUGAUUCUAAAGUUUAUAAGUUUGGUAAGUUUUAAAUUUGUUGUCCAUUGCAGACACUCCUUGGCAUACGUUAGUCGGCUCUUGGACAAAUAUAGUUGAUCAGGCUAUAUUCUUCCCAGUUCCGAUUACAUGUCCCAAGGCAUACCUGCACUGCACAACUUAUUUAUAAUACUUCUAUAUUGUUUUAGUUAUGAUACUGACCAUGUUAUUAAUAUGAAAUGAAUGCAUGCCUACUUUACAAAACUAAAUAAAUUUAAUUUUAAAAGUAUGACUCUUACUCAGAGUGUUUUUGCCCAGUUGUGUUUAUAGUCGUAUACCAAAAUGGUUUUGAUAUACUUAAUUCACUAUAAACAAUGCUCUGAUACCAAUCUGUCACACCCCCAAACCAGAACGGCGGAAACGUUCGGGGGCGGAGGACGUCAUGUCAAAUAUCAUAACAAUUGAAUAGUAAAGAAAGUACACACCACCAUAAUAUAAAUAUAUUUGAAAAGUUUACAUGAUUGUAUAUGUUACAUGUUUGCAAAAGAAAUCAAAUACAAUAUGGUGAUCCAAAAUAUGUUACUAACGCCAGCGCGUUAGUCUUCAAAAGUAGUUGCUACCUGGUCUAGCGGUUUCCUGAGAAUACAAGUUAUUUCAAAGAAAAAGUGUCAACAUUUAAGUUGGUGAGUUCAUAAGUGGUGUUUUGAGAAAAUGUAUGCCAUUCGAAAGUGCUUGUAUGUUUUCCAGAAAAUCCCUUAUUUUCUAUUAGAUGUAUGAAAUGAGUUUGAAAGAUUGUUGUAUGUACUAUAUGUAUUUGAACCAGGAAAAUCCCUUAUUUUCCUAAAAGUGAAAUGCAGUCUCAAAUGACCAAGACCGUAAGCUAUAAGAAACUAUGACAUGCUCAAAAGAAUGAUGUUGUAAAUCGUUAUUGUACAAAAU
RNAcentral lists this long non-coding RNA (5834 nucleotides) under Lactuca sativa (garden lettuce). RNAcentral's name for it is "long non-coding RNA (LSAT_LNC006684)". The record is from RNAcentral. Lineage: Eukaryota; Viridiplantae; Streptophyta; Magnoliopsida; Asterales; Asteraceae.